AUGCAAAAGCUUAUGUUUCUCUCGUCGGAGCCGAAGAGUAUAACACCUGCAUGCAUGCUGCCGGACGUGACGUUUGUCGUGGAGCAGACCGAGAUCCAGGCGCACAGGCUCAUCCUAGCCAUGCGGUCACCGGUGUUCGCAGCCGAGCUCCUUGGUGACAUGAGAGAGGGUACCACCCGUCGCGUCAUGGUCGAUGACAUGAGCGCCUCAACCUUCAGGGCCAUGCUCCGCUUCAUCUACACCGACGAGCUGCCCAUCAAAGGAAAGACAACUAACGAACGUGGUUGCAAACAAAAACGUGCCGCAAGGCGUCGUGUGGACAUGGCGCUUGAUCUGCUCGUUGCGGCGGAUCGCUACGACCUAGAGAAGCUGGGGCUCAUGUGCGAGAAGAUAUUGUCCGAAAGCAUCGACACCGCGUCUGUCAUCCCAACGUUGAUGGGGGUGCACGGCCGACAUAGUUGCCGUCAGCUAGAGACCUCUUGCAUUGAGUACUUGGCGUCUGAUGCCAACGUGUACGCCAAUGUCAAGGCGACAGAGGAGUACAAGGAGCUAAAGGAAAGCUGUUGUUCUUUCCUAGCAGGUGUCACAGACAAAGUAGCCACUUGUAAAUUAGUGGACAGCCACGCAGACACCAGCCUCUGCCGGCCGGAGAAACGGACUAUGUCGACGUACAACACGUCGGAGGUGGCUCACAGUAUACACGAGUUGAGGAUCCCAAACUUUAAGAGCCUGCAUACGAGCCAUGGUGUUAAACAAAGAUUCAGUUCUGACACUUUCCAGAUAGGAGGCCAUGACUGGAAGUUGGAGGUAUCAGUGAAGGAAGGGAGAAUUUCCGUGUUCACCGAAUUGUUGACAGAUCCAGGAACGGCUAGUGUUAGGGUGUCCUUAUGUUUCAUGAUGGAUGACCCUGGUGGCAACUCGCCCCUCAUCAUGUGGCAAGCUGAAGAAACCUUCAACUCAGAAGGUGAUUCUUGUGGGUUUUCGUGUUCGAUCAGCCAGGAAGAUGAUGUGUCAGUAUACGCUGAUGAUGGCUCUCUAACCAUUCGCUGCGACUUUGUAUUGACCAACAAGUUGUGCACUGUUACGAGUGCCACUUCAGCCGGUGUCGAAGACAUGACUCUUGCGCCACCACCCAACAUUGUGUCUCAUCUUGAGCAGCUCCUGGUGAGCGAGAAGGGCUCAGAUGUGACGUUCCUAGUCGAAAACAGAGAGAUUCACGCACACAGCCUCGUCAUCGCCACACGGUCCCCGGCCCUAUACACGAUGGUUCUGGCCACCAACCAGGAGGAGGAGCACAUCGUACCAGUCUGGGGUAUGAGGGUUGAAGUCUUCAAGGCGGUGCUUCGCUUCAUCUACGCCGACGAGCUGCCUCCCUUGGAAGAAAUAGCCCUUGCUACGGGGCAUGGUGUGACAACUAUUGCCCAAGACAUGUUGGUUGCCGCGUCUCGCUUCCAUCUGGACAGGAUGAAGGACAAGUGCGAGACCUUGGUUGGUGAGUGCGUGUCAGAACGGAACGUGGUGACCAUGCUCGGACUAGCGUGCCGUCACAACUGCAAGAAGCUCGAGGAUUACUGCAUGAAGUUCAACUGA
Molecule: ribosomal RNA, 1590 nt
Filed under: Triticum aestivum (bread wheat)
Lineage: Eukaryota; Viridiplantae; Streptophyta; Magnoliopsida; Poales; Poaceae
Description: partial small subunit ribosomal RNA
Source: RNAcentral